Monodelphis domestica (gray short-tailed opossum) is the source of this 1707-nucleotide long non-coding RNA. Lineage: Eukaryota; Metazoa; Chordata; Mammalia; Didelphimorphia; Didelphidae. The record is from Ensembl.
GUAAAUGAAGAAUGAAGAUCAAAGAUGGAGUGGAGCACGUGAGUCAAAGGGAUGGAGAAGCAAUUGGAGACUUUUCUGGUUGCAGCAUCUGAGUUUGAUGAGGACCCAGCCUUGAGGAACAAUCUUUCAUGUAGCCCAGCAAUGGAUUGACCAAGCAAAGGAAACACAGUGGACUAGAAAGGAAAAGGAGCAAUACAUCCAGAAGGAACUUGAGUUGAACUCUUGAGGCCAAGUUCUUCUACCUGUACUGAUCCCUGCCCUCAUUAACUUGGGAUGAGAUGAAGAUAUUGCGAGUUAAAUAUGAGUGUGAUCAGGCCCUCAAGCUAUUAGCCUGUGCUCCUCUUCUCAGUUACAGCAAUGUUUCUAGAGAAACUUCCUCUACUCGGUCAAUCAAUACACACUUAUUAAGCACCCACUAUUCACUCGUUUGACAUAAUCACCUUAAGGUGCCUAUACUUGAAGCAAAACUAGACAGAUGGUUCUGCCAGUGUUAUGCCGAUGUUGUAGCAAGUUGAAGCACCUACGUUCUGAUCCUUACCAAGGAUGAGAUCGUGGCUCGGAAAAUUCUUUCUCUGGAUGUGGAUAGUGUUCUUUCACAUAAGUCCCUCAGGAUUGUCCUGGAUCAUUGCAUUGCUACUACUAGAGAAGUCCAUUACAUUCGAUUGUGCUACAAUGUAUCAGUCUCUGUGUACAACGUGCUCCUGGUUCUGCUCCUUUUCCUCUGCAUCAGUUCCUGGAGAUCAUUCCAGUUCACAUGGAGUUCCUCCACUUAGCACAAUAGUUUCCAUCAUCACAAUAGACCACAAUUUGUUCAGCCAUUCCCCAAUUGAAGGGCAGCCCCUCAUUUUCCAAUUUUUGGCCACCACAAAGAGCGCAGCUAUGAAUAUUCUUGUAAAAGUCUUUUUCCUUAUUCUCUCUUUGCGGUACAAACCCAGCAGUGCUAUGGCUGGAUCAAAGGGCAGGCAGUCUUUUUUUUUUUAAACCCUUACCUUCUGUCUUGGAGUCAAUACUGUGUAUUGGUAAGGGCUAGGCAAUGGGGGCCAAGUGACUUGCCCAGGGUCACACAGCUGGGAAGUGUCUGAGGCCAGAUUUGAACCCAGGACCUCCCGUCUCUAGGCCUGACUCUCAAUCCACUGAGCCACGCAGCUGCUCCCGGGGAAGGCAGUCUUUUAGCGCCCUUUGGGCAUAGUUCCAAAUUGUCCUCCAGAAUGGUUGGAUCCAUUCACCACUCCACCAGCAAUGUAUUAAUGUCCAACUUUGCCACAUCCCCUCCAACAUUCAUUACUUUCCUUUACUGUCAUGUUAGCCAAUCUGCUGGGUGUGAGGUGAUACCUCAGAGUUGUUUUGAUUUGCAUCUCUCUGAUUAUAAGAGAUUCAGAGCACUUUUUCAUGUGCUAAUUGAUAGUUUUGAUUUUUUUAUCUGAAAAGUGCCUGUUCAAGUCCUUGCCCAUUUAUCAACUGGAGAAUGGCUUGAAUUUUUGUACAAUUGAUUUAGCUCUUUAUAAAUUUGAGUAAUUAGACCUUUGUCAGAGUUUUUGUUUUAAAGAUUUUUUCACAAUUUGUUGCUUCCCUUCUAAUUUUGCUUGUAUUGAUUUUGUUUGUACAAAACCUUUUUAACUUAAUGUAAUCAAAAUUAUUUAUUUUAUAUUUUGUAAUCUUUAUCUCUUGCUUUUUCUUAUAAUCUUUCCUUUCCUAUAGAUCUGACAA